GAUGAACGCUAGCGACAGGCUUAACACAUGCAAGUCGAGGGGCAGCACGAUGUAGCAAUACAUUGGUGGCGACCGGCGCACGGGUGAGUAACGCGUAUGCAACCUACCUAUCAGAGGGGAAUAACCCGGCGAAAGUCGGACUAAUACCGCAUAAAACAGGGGUUCCACAUGGAAAUAUUUGUUAAAGAAUUAUCGCUGAUAGAUGGGCAUGCGUUCCAUUAGAUAGUUGGUGAGGUAACGGCUCACCAAGUCCACGAUGGAUAGGGGUUCUGAGAGGAAGGUCCCCCACACUGGUACUGAGACACGGACCAGACUCCUACGGGAGGCAGCAGUGAGGAAUAUUGGUCAAUGGGCGAGAGCCUGAACCAGCCAAGUCGCGUGAAGGAUGAAGGAUCUAUGGUUUGUAAACUUCUUUUAUAUGGGAAUAAAGUGAGGAACGUGUUCCUUUUUGUAUGUACCAUAUGAAUAAGCAUCGGCUAACUCCGUGCCAGCAGCCGCGGUAAUACGGAGGAUGCGAGCGUUAUCCGGAUUUAUUGGGUUUAAAGGGUGCGUAGGUGGUUAAUUAAGUCAGCGGUGAAAGUUUGUGGCUCAACCAUAAAAUUGCCGUUGAAACUGGUUGACUUGAGUAUAUUUGAGGUAGGCGGAAUGCGUGGUGUAGCGGUGAAAUGCAUAGAUAUCACGCAGAACUCCGAUUGCGAAGGCAGCUUACU
RNAcentral lists this ribosomal RNA (710 nucleotides) under uncultured Bacteroidales bacterium. Its description in RNAcentral is "bacterial SSU rRNA". It matches the Rfam family "Bacterial small subunit ribosomal RNA", at positions 28 to 730 of the family's 1533-position model. The record is from RNAcentral. Lineage: Bacteria; Pseudomonadati; Bacteroidota; Bacteroidia; Bacteroidales.